GUCGCACACCACCACCUUCCUGCCCUGGCUGUCCAUCGUCCGCCCAGGGAAGAGCCGCUGCAGCCGCACAACCUACAGCCACCGCCGCCCGGCCGUUUUCUCUUCUUCCUCUUGCGUCUUCCCGGCCCCUCCUUCGGCCCAACUUUUUUCCCCCGACCGGAAGCCGCCGCCGGGCUCCGCCCGUCAUUUAGCUGAAUGCCUGCACGAAAAGGGUGGGACGGGCAGGCAGCGCGACUGGCAGCGGUGAGCUCCAAUAAAAGAUGGAGGAGCGUCGAGGCCCCUCCCGCAGCUCCGCUUCCGGCUCGGCUGUCACGGUCGCUGCCCACCCGGGUUCUUCGCUGCUUCUAGUUCCGGGCGCUUUGCCGGGCGUUAAUGGCGGCCAACAUCGCCGGUGCUGCGGCUUUCUCCCUAAAGUGUCACAGGAGCUAAGGGCGCUGCUUAACGAACUGCAGAAGACGCAGGCAGGUGAAGGACACCGGUUCUGCUGCGGCAGUGGAAUGUGGCGGAGAAGCUGGCGGGUAGGGCGGGGAGCAAGCCUGGAGGUCCUGGCGGACCCCACCAUUCGACAGGGCUUGGUGUGUUAUUGCUUCUAGGCCUUUUCAGCGGACAGAACUGGGAUGGAUACACACAUGCUUAUUUGAAAUCAUGCGUUUGUUCCAUACUCCAAUGUCAGCCCACCCCUUCUUUGCCCAAGUUGCUCUAUGGUCAAGUGAGCGAGAGCAGGUGCCUGCAUUUCCAGCCUCGUGGCUCACCGCCUCCUUCCAGUAGUCCCAUGUUGCUUCACACCUCUUAAGUACAUGUACUUCUGUGAACCCAGAGCCUUGGCUUUGAAAUCAGACAACCCCAGUUUCAAACGUGGCGCUGCCACUCACGAGUUUUGUGAUUUUGGCAUACCCCUGUCUGCAUGGGGAUAAUAACUUCUAUCUCCAUAGGUGUGGUGAGGAUAAAAGUCUAUGCAUGGAGGAAAUGUUCAUUCAGUGGUAGCUAUUUCUAAUUCUGUUCUUCUGGACCUAUGAUUCUAUCUACGAUGCCUCAUUUUUUUUCCUUUUUAAUCAAUUGGCAAACUUGUGCUCUGAGACCCAGCUUGUUACAUCUCUGAUGACAGCUGAUAUCCUCAGGAUAUUCCGUACUUCCUUUCUCCCUAUUACUUUACUAUGAAUAUAUGAAUAACAUUGUGCUUAUUGCAUGCAACAAAUAUUUAUUAGAUGAAUGACAUUAAAAUUCACCUUUAAAAUGCCAUCCUUUAUGAGAGGUGAGAAAUAGAACUUUUCCUUCGACAUGGCUGUACAUGUUCAACAACUAGAAUAAAACAGUCAUCAUGAACCCUCAAUCCAGUAUUCUUUUUAUAAUAUAGCUGCCUGUCAGUUUUCACUGUUCUUUUAUUAGACCAGUGAUUUUCAAACCUUUUUAAAGGCAUACAGUGCUUUAUUCAAAUCUAAUCUUAUAUGGAACCCUCAACACAUAAAUAUUAAGAUAAAAAUAAAGCUGCCAUUGUUGCAAUUAGAAGUUUGAGAGGUUAGAAUAGGUAGGAAGUCUCGGAGGAACAUUUCUUCGUUUUACCUGCUUUAACAGUCAGAGAAGUACCUCAGCCAGCAGAAAAAUUUAUUUGUUCAUAAAUUCCUUGAGUAUAGAGUCCGUAUCUUAUUUUUGUGGCCUCCAAUGCUAGUGCUGUGCAGUUUUCUUGAAAGUGCAUUUUAUUGGUCUCAGCAAAUUGAACUCAAGCAUUUCUGUGUUCUUUUACUUUUCCUCUUUGUGGAAUUAAGGGGAUUGCUAAUUUGUAUUUUUAAAGAAAGAACAUUAUUCCGGGCGCGGUGGCUCACGCCUGUAAUCCCAGCACUUGGGGAGGCCAAGGAGGGCAAAUCACCUGAGAUCAGGAGUUCAAGACAAGGCUGACCAACAUGGCAAAACCCCGUCUCUACUAAAAAUACAAAAAUUAGCUGGGCGUGUUGGCACGCGCCUGUAAUCCCAGCCACUCAGGAAGCUGAGGCAGGAGAAUCGCUUGAACCCGGGAAGCAGAGGUUGCAGUGACAGAGAUCGUGCCACUGCACUCCAGCCUGGUGAGAGCAAGACUCUGUCUCAAAAAAAAAAAAAAAAAAUUGGCAAGUUUGGCCCUAAAAUUUAUAUGAAAUGAAAAGGAACCAGAAUAAAAGGAUUUCGAAACAGAAAAAGAUGGAGAACUUCCACUACCUGAAUUCAAAACUUAUUAUAAAGCUACAGUAAUGAAGACUGUAAUACUGGCAUAGAGGCAGAUAUAUCGAUCAAUGGAAUCAAAUAGUCCACAAAUAAACCUUUACAUUAUGG
RNAcentral lists this long non-coding RNA (2301 nucleotides) under Homo sapiens (human). Its description in RNAcentral is "non-protein coding lnc-RAB1A-11:3". The record is from RNAcentral. Lineage: Eukaryota; Metazoa; Chordata; Mammalia; Primates; Hominidae.